This 907-nucleotide unclassified non-coding RNA is filed under the name Hevea brasiliensis (rubber tree). Lineage: Eukaryota; Viridiplantae; Streptophyta; Magnoliopsida; Malpighiales; Euphorbiaceae. The record is from RNAcentral.
CGGUGGAUAGAGGAAGACACCAUGAAUCAUUGGCCGACAAUAGCGAGAAGCUGGGAGCACUUGACAUAGCUGAGGAAUCCCUGGUUCACAGCAGCGAGGAAAAGUAGGAAGGACUUGCGUACUCACUGGUUCGCAAAUCCUAGUGGUGACGCCAUACAAGAACCCCACAAAUCUAGAUUCCUCUAUCCCAUACAUCGUCUUCAUCCUGGCGAACACACGAGCUGUUAAUAGACUAUCAGAUCCUGCUUGAUGAGACCCUCCAACUCGCUUGACUCCUAGAAUCUUAGCCAAUUUCUCCAAUCCAAGCUCACCCCUGUGCAGGUCAUCGUAGAAUCGUGCCAAGUACUUGACAUCCAACACACAGCACCCAAAUACCGUGGCAAUAAUCUCAGUGAAAUCCAACAUAGAUACGGGCAGUGGUUUCUUGGUAACCAGCUUCACCAUGUAGGCCAAGUCAUAUAGCCCAUGAAAAGUUAGCCACUUCAAGUCUCUAUGUCUGCUUAAAACAUGAGUGAACAUGUUUGAGAAAAACAGCUGGUCGAUCCCAUUAAUCCUCAGCUCCUCAAAAUCAAUUCCACUUUCCUUUAGAAACUCAAUGGACUUAGGAUCAUAAAAAACCUCCGUUUCUAUCAAGAACUUGAAAUUAAACUCCCAAGUUCCAGCGAUAAUUCCAUUCUCAUCGGAAAGUGUAAUACCCAGUUGGAUAAUUUUCAUGUUAUCAACGUUGAACUUCAUAUCAGCGAAUGCCGAUAACUCAUCAGACCGGCGAGGGGUUUUCCGAAGAAAUCCAGGGAACUCCGAAUCCAUGGAAACCACCUUGUGGUGGUGCAACGCCGCAUCCAUUUUUUGCAGUUCUUCCAUGAGAUUACACGCCCAAACUUGCCUAAUCCCCAUCUCGCAAUGAUCG